RNAcentral lists this ribosomal RNA (873 nucleotides) under uncultured eukaryote. Its description in RNAcentral is "SSU rRNA". It matches the Rfam family "Eukaryotic small subunit ribosomal RNA", at positions 573 to 1472 of the family's 1831-position model. The record is from RNAcentral.
GCCGCGGUAAUUCCAGCUCCAAUAGCGUAUAUUAAAGUUGUUGCAGUUAAAAAGCUCGUAGUUGGAUUUCGGAACCGGCCGAUUGGUCCGUCCUCUGGAUCGUGUACUGAUCGGUCUGUUCUUCUUCGCGAAGACCGCGUGUGCCCUUAACUGGGUGGGCGCGGGAUUCGCGACGUUUACUUUGAAAAAAUUAGAGUGUUCAAAGCAGGCAGUCGCUUGAAUAUCUCAGCAUGGAAUAAUAGAAUAGGACUUUGGUCUUAUUUUGUUGGUUUCCGAGACCGAAGUAAUGAUUAAUAGGGACAGUUGGGGGCAUUCGUAUUUCAUUGUCAGAGGUGAAAUUCUUGGAUUUAUGAAAGACGAACUUCUGCGAAAGCAUUUGCCAAGGAUGUUUUCAUUAAUCAAGAACGAAAGUUGGAGGCUCGAAGACGAUCAGAUACCGUCCUAGUUCCAACCAUAAACGAUGCCGUCUGCGGAUCGGAGGUCGCUCAUGUAAGGCUCCUUCGGCACGCUAUGAGAAAUCAAAGACUUCGGGUUCCGGGGGGAGUAUGUUCGCAAGAAUGAAACUUAAAGGAAUUGACGGAAGGGCACCACCAGGAGUGGAACCUGCGGUUUAAUUUGACUCAACACGGGAAAACUCACCAGGUCCAGACAUAGGAAGGAUUGACAGAUUGAGAGCUCUUUCUUGAUUCUAUGGGUGGUGGUGCAUGGGCCGUUCUUAGUUGGUGGAGUGAUUUGUCUGGUUAAUUCCGUUAACGAACGAGACCUUAACCUGCUAAAUAGUGACACGGUUCUUUGAACCGUGGCUCACUUCUUAGAGGGACUAUCGGUUUCAAACCGAUGGAAGUUUGAGGCAAUAACAGGUCUGUGAUGCCC